AUUGAACGCUGGCGGCAGGCCUAACACAUGCAAGUCGAGCGGAUGAAGGGAGCUUGCUCCUGGAUUCAGCGGCGGACGGGUGAGUAAUGCCUAGGAAUCUGCCUGGUAGUGGGGGAUAACGUCCGGGAACGGGCGCUAAUACCGCAUACGUCCUGAGGGAGAAAGUGGGGGAUCUUCGGACCUCACGCUAUCAGAUGAGCCUAGGUCGGAUUAGCUAGUUGGUGGGGUAAAGGCCUACCAAGGCGACGAUCCGUAACUGGUCUGAGAGGAUGAUCAGUCACACUGGAACUGAGACACGGUCCAGACUCCUACGGGAGGCAGCAGUGGGGAAUAUUGGACAAUGGGCGAAAGCCUGAUCCAGCCAUGCCGCGUGUGUGAAGAAGGUCUUCGGAUUGUAAAGCACUUUAAGUUGGGAGGAAGGUCAGUAAGUUAAUACCUUGCUGUUUUGACGUUACCAACAGAAUAAGCACCGGCUAACUUCGUG
RNAcentral lists this ribosomal RNA (484 nucleotides) under uncultured bacterium. RNAcentral's name for it is "partial 16S ribosomal RNA". It matches the Rfam family "Bacterial small subunit ribosomal RNA", at positions 30 to 507 of the family's 1533-position model. The record is from RNAcentral.